GACGAACGCUGGCGGCGUGCCUAAUACAUGCAAGUCGAACGAACCGCGACUAAGUGCUUGCACUAAGUCAAGGUGAGUGGCGAACGGGUGAGUAACACGUGGGUAACCUACCUCAUAGUGGGGGAUAACAGUCGGAAACGACUGCUAAUACCGCAUAGGACAUAGGAUCACAUGAUCCAGUGAGGAAAGGUGGCGCAAGCUAUCGCUAAGAGAUGGACCCGCGGUGCAUUAGCUAGUUGGUAGGGUAAAGGCCUACCAAGGCGACGAUGCAUAGCCGACCUGAGAGGGUGAUCGGCCACAUUGGGACUGAGACACGGCCCAAACUCCUACGGGAGGCAGCAGUAGGGAAUCUUCCGCAAUGGACGCAAGUCUGACGGAGCAACGCCGCGUGAGUGAAGAAGGUCUUCGGAUCGUAAAGCUCUGUUGUUAGAGAAGAACAGCGCAUAGAGUAACUGCUAUGCGUGUGACGGUAUCUAACCAGAAAGCCACGGCUAACUACGUG
This 502-nucleotide ribosomal RNA is filed under the name uncultured bacterium. RNAcentral describes it as "partial 16S ribosomal RNA". It matches the Rfam family "Bacterial small subunit ribosomal RNA", at positions 28 to 507 of the family's 1533-position model. The record is from RNAcentral.